RNAcentral lists this microRNA (20 nucleotides) under Pteropus alecto (black flying fox). Its description in RNAcentral is "pal-miR-541-5p". Its record names the gene pal-miR-541-5p. Lineage: Eukaryota; Metazoa; Chordata; Mammalia; Chiroptera; Pteropodidae. The record is from miRBase by way of RNAcentral.
AAGGGGUUCUGCCGUCGGUC